CUUUCUCCGCCGGCGACCGGCGCACGGGGUGAGUAACACGUAUGCAACCUGCCCCUGUCAGGGGGACAACCCGCCGAAAGGCGGGCUAAACCCGCGUACAUGCCACCGGGGCAUCCCGGAGGCAGGAAAAGGCUUCGGCCGGACAGGGAUGGGCAUGCGGCGCAUUAGGCAGUAGGCGGGGUAACGGCCCACCUAACCGACGAUGCGUAGGGGUUCUGAGAGGAAGGUCCCCCACACUGGUACUGAGACACGGACCAGACUCCUACGGGAGGCAGCAG
RNAcentral lists this ribosomal RNA (278 nucleotides) under uncultured bacterium. RNAcentral describes it as "partial 16S ribosomal RNA". It matches the Rfam family "Bacterial small subunit ribosomal RNA", at positions 79 to 354 of the family's 1533-position model. The record is from RNAcentral.